Molecule: long non-coding RNA, 413 nt
Organism: Lolium perenne
Lineage: Eukaryota; Viridiplantae; Streptophyta; Magnoliopsida; Poales; Poaceae
Source: RefSeq, a predicted model, not a curated record
CGGAGAUCGCCGUCCUUGCCAUCGUUGUUCGCCGCUGCUCGCUGCGCCGAGCGCGGGGAUGGAGCCGCCGUGGUGCCCUCUUCCUCCUCGCUGAACCGGAGCCGGAGCUGCUCAAGAACGCCGCCGCCGCCAAGACGUACCUGGUGCGCCGCCGUGCACGCCGACGACCUCCGCUUCGCCCCGCCGUCGUCUCCAUCCUCCCCAACUUUUCUCCCUUGACGUGUUCGUCGUUGUGCCACCAGAGGCGCAGCAGCGUCGAUCUUGGUCGAGUUUCGCAGUUUCCUUCAAAGGACCGAGCCCCUCUCUUCAGUUGGCUGGCUGGUUACAUCUGCACCAUAGACGUCGGUACCGAGGAGUACGGCGAGGAGUACGACUACUACCUUGAGGAGGAUCGUGUCGGUUUCUCUUCUUCU